Molecule: ribosomal RNA, 311 nt
Filed under: uncultured bacterium
Lineage: Bacteria
Description: bacterial SSU rRNA
Rfam family: Bacterial small subunit ribosomal RNA
Source: RNAcentral
AUUGAACGCUGGCGGCAUGCCUUACACAUGCAAGUCGAACGGCAGCACGGGAGCAAUCCUGGUGGCGAGUGGCGAACGGGUGAGUAAUAUAUCGGAACGUGCCCAGUCGUGGGGAUAACGUAGCGAAAGCUACGCUAAUACCGCAUACGAUCUAUGGAUGAAAGCGGGGGAUCGCAAGACCUCGCGCGAUUGGAGCGGCCGAUAUCAGAUUAGGUAGUUGGUGAGGUAAAGGCUCACCAAGCCGACGAUCUGUAGCUGGUCUGAGAGGACGACAGCCACACGUGGGACUGAGACACGGCCCAGACUCCGUA